GUUACACACAGGCUUGUGGCGCCUCCAUUGUCCUGUCAGGAGGUAACGGGGAGGAUGUGAGUUCUCUCAAGUGGUAUACCCAUAUUCCACAACUUCAGACAUGCAGCUCAAAUUAUGCAUGGUGGAGAAGUUUGUUGCUUUAAAAACAGCACAGGUUCAAUCCAAAUGCCAAGGACAUUCUGAAAGGUGGUGCAUUUUCAAUCCAGAGAACAAAGAGGAAUUACAGCAGGUCUGUGGUGGAUUUGUGUUUUGAAGAGACAAUGAACCAAGAUACUGCAUCACCAAUGAAAGGGAUAACACCCUUCUGAAACUCAGAAAGUGCAUUCAGGAGAUGGGCAGUGAUCCUCAUACAGCGAGGCAUGGCUGUCGCUGAACUCAGAGAGGUUGUUAACCUCUUCAAAACAUCAAGCUAAGCCAACUCAACUCUUGAAAAUUAAACAAGACAGCAAGGAUAUCAGCACUCAUAAAAUGCACAUACAAUCCUUUUUUCCAGUGCCUCUAGCUCAGGACUCUAUAAACUGUCCUCAGGAAAGGCAGCACAAGAUGCCACACAGAAAUUUUUUCUCUAGAAGGAAAAAAGCAAUUGAGUGCAAUUUGAAGCUGUACACUCAGAUGGAAAAGUAAAUGUAAGAAUAUAUGAUAAGUGACAGAUAACAAAUAUUAAUAAGUGAUAUCAUGAACAAAAAAUAAUCUAUGAAUAAAUUACAGUGGCAGACUUAGCAAUUAUACAGGAAAGCAACACCAUCUUGUUAACAUAACUUUAUACAAAUGUAACGUGGUAUUUUAUGAUGGGGUAUUAACUUGUACUAGUCUUCCUUGAAAAUCUCAUUCCCCACCCCACUCUUCUUGGUAGUUCAAAUCAUGCAAGCUGUGGGUGUUUGUGUUAGUGAACAAGUGUAACCCACUCAGAUGAGAGUAAUUUAUGAAAAUAGAAGCAAAAUCAGGUACAGGAGGAUUUAGGAUAGGUGAAUUAGGUUCUGGGGAUGAUAAGAUGGAUCCAGUAAUGUUAAGUAGUACAGGAAAAGGACUAGUCAAUUCUGUGGUGUCAGCUUUCCAUGGAAGGAUACACAAUGUAUAGAUGUAUCUGUUAUGUGUCACAGCAUUCCUUCUGGCUACAUCACAUGGAGUAAGCAUACCUAUGCUCCCCUGCUCCAGGUCCAACUCCUUUGAUACCCUGUACAGUAGUGCCUUCCCCUGCCCCCCCAAACCUCCUAGCAGAUAUGGUGGGUAUAAACAGAACAUAAACCCAGUGGCAAUGCAGCAACAGGUUACCAGACUGGAGUGAGUGACAACCCCAUCUCCAUACAGGUGUGUACUCUAGUUGGUGGCAAUGAGUAGUGGUGACGAGAGGCUGAUGGACCAGACGGCCUGAGCAAACACAAGGGAGCCUGGUUCAUAAGUAGCAGUAGCUACCACCAUGUCCUAGCCAUGUCCAUCUUGGUUGUCUGAGGACUCCUCCAUCCAUGACUAUCCCAUCUCACAAAUAAGCCAUAACAGGAUUCCAUAGGUUCCUGGUCACUACCCAGAAUGAGAGGCUUAUUAGGUAGGGAAUCCUCCUUGGCCUGGUUAUCUGUGUUAAGGCUUGCUACUCAUUUUUGUCAUUAUUAAUCUAUUUAUUUAAUUAUUGUUUUAAAAGUGAUUACUUAUUGUUAUUUCCCCAAGUAAAUUCUAGAAAGUGUUA
Molecule: long non-coding RNA, 1681 nt
Organism: Scylla paramamosain (green mud crab)
Lineage: Eukaryota; Metazoa; Arthropoda; Malacostraca; Decapoda; Portunidae
Exons: 2
Source: RefSeq, a predicted model, not a curated record